Molecule: unclassified non-coding RNA, 341 nt
Filed under: soil metagenome
Description: partial contains 5.8S ribosomal RNA, internal transcribed spacer 2, and large subunit ribosomal RNA
Rfam family: 5.8S ribosomal RNA (bases 1-120)
Source: RNAcentral
GAUGAAGAACGUAGCGAAAUGCGAUAAGUAAUGUGAAUUGCAGAAUUCAGUGAAUCAUCGAAUCUUUGAACGCACAUUGCGCCCGCUAGUAUUCUGGCGGGCAUGCCUGUCCGAGCGUCAUUUCAACCCUCAAGCCCCCGGGCUUGGUGUUGGGGAUCGGCGAGCCUCCGCGCCCGCCGUCCCCUAAAUCUAGUGGCGGUCUCGCUGUAGCUUCCUCUGCGUAGUAGCACACCUCGCACUGGGAAACAGCGCGGCCACGCCGUUAAACCCCCAACUUCUGAACGUUUGACCUCGGAUCAGGUAGGAAUACCCGCUGAACUUAAGCAUAUCUAAGCGGAGGA